This 6206-nucleotide unclassified non-coding RNA is filed under the name Diabrotica virgifera virgifera (western corn rootworm). Its description in RNAcentral is "protein ENL". Lineage: Eukaryota; Metazoa; Arthropoda; Insecta; Coleoptera; Chrysomelidae. The record is from RNAcentral.
AAAUUAAUCUACGUCAUUUGUUAACGAAAUUGAUACACAAACAAACCUUUAUGCCACAAAUACGAUUAGUUAAUUUAAAUUGUUUAUAUGGACAUAAGUAGUGAAAUACUGAAGCUUUUGUACUAGUCAUGUGAAUGUAAAUAAGCCUAUAUUAACUUUAGAACAUGGAUGUACACAUUGUUAUAACUUUUACCCACAUGUAGAGAAAUCUAAAAUUAGGUACCCAUUUUCGUUGACAUAAUAUUGAUGAAGAACUGGUCAAAAAGACAUGUGUACGAUAGAGGAUAUGCGGGAUGUUUAAGUAAAACAUGUCCUUAACCAUUCUGUUGGAACUUGGGCACAGUGCCUCUUUGAAACAGAAAAAAGAUUCUGCAGGAUUCACUCAUGAUUGGGAAGUUUUUGUUAGAGGACAGAACGAAGCUAAGAUUCAAUAUUAUGUAGAAAAGGUGGUCUUCAAUCUGCAUGAAAGUUUUCCCAAACCAAAGCGAGUUGUAAAGGAUCCGCCGUUUUCGAUCAGAGCCUCUGGGUAUGCCGGUUUUAUCAUUCCUAUCGAUAUAUACCUGAAGAAUAAUAACGAACCGAAAAGGAUAACAUUUGAUUAUGAUCUUUAUCUUCAUUCGUCUGGCCCUUCGAUUCAUAGAGUACAAAAAGAGAAACACACAUUUCCCAGCCCGUCUGAAGAAUUUAGAAGUAAGCUGUUGAAAGGAGGAGCAAUAGGGGAAGGAAAUCACGAAAAUAGUAUAAAAGAAGACAAAAAUCAAAUGAGUAAUAGACCAAAAUUAGGUACGUCGGAUGUCCCAAAAAAACACAAAAUGAAACUAGACGAGCCAAGAACGACCGACUUCGAAAACCUUUUUGGUACUCCAAUUAAAAAAACUAGUAAACUUCCCGAAACUCCUAAACCGAAGGAACCUCCCCCCGCAAAACCCCCAAACCCUGAAAAAUCUUCUGAAAAAGACAAAAGUGAUAAGGUAAAAUCAAAUAAAAGUGCCCAUAAAGAUAAGGAUAAAGAUAAAGAAAAAUCCAAAGAAAAGUCCUCGGAAAAUGCGGAUAAAAGAAAUAAAGAAGAGAAGAGAAAAUCAAAAGAUGAUAAAAGUAAAGACAGGGACAGACCGAAGGAAAAAAGUUCCAAAAAAGACAAAGAAAGAGAAAAAUCACCAGUUUCCAGACCGAGAAGUCCAAGUCCAAAAAAAUCACCUAAACGAGAACCUAGCCCACCUCCAGUACAAAAACAUAGUAAUAAAGAAAAAGAAAGUAGCAAAGAAGAGAAAAAAGAGAAAGAUAAAGAUAAGGAUAAAAAGGAAGAUAAAAAAUCGAAAAAAGAUAAAAGGGACCACAAAGAAGGUAAACACAAAGAUAGGGAAAAGGAUAAGGAACAUCGAGAGCAUAAAAGUAAAGAUAGCAGUAAAUCUAGGGAAAAAGAACCUUCAGUUAUUAAGAAGGAAUCUAGUCCUGCUCUUCCUACACCUAUAAGUUCUCAAAAUUCUCACAAGACUGAUAAAAAACCGAAAGAAAAAGAACCUAUUAAGGAACCACCAAAAGAAGAGGAAAAAAUAGAGAAACCAGAAAAGCGUGAAAAGACAAUUAAUGAACCCGAAGACAGACAGAAACACAAGCAUAAGAAAAAAGACCGCAAAGAAAAGAAAGAAGAGAAACAUUCCAAAAAGGAAGAAAGAAAGAUCGAGAAACAUCCCAGUUCAACUACUAAUUCUAAAGAAGUAGUUGUUAAAGAGGAAAAACCCACGCCCCCUCCCCCCAAUCGACCAGUAGAUAAAAGUAAUUUAUUCGGUAGUCCGAAAAGUAGAUCCCCUUCGACUCCUAAGGAGCCAGAAAUUAAAGUAGAAAAUAAUACCCUCUUUUCCAGGGAUGAUGAGUCGUCAAACGACUCGGUAAAGAUGAGUAGCAGAGAAGCAUCACCGGUCCAAAGGCCGCCUUCAAAAUCCCCCUCGCCCCUUCCACCAGUUGAACCUGUAAAAAAACCGGAACCUGAGAAGAAAAAGGAGCCAUCGCCAAAGAAAAAAGACAAAAAGGAAAAGAAAAAGGACAAGAAAGUCGACAAAGAAAAAGAUCACGAGAAAAAGAAAAAACGGAAAAGUGAUCCUAUUACAAAUGAUAAAUUAGAACCUCCGGAAAAAAUUGUAAAGUUAGAAGAAGAGAAUAAUUCGGACGAGGAAAGUAAAGUAUCAAGCACUGAAGAUACUACAGCGGUCAUUCAACCAAAAAGUGAAUGCGAUAUGGACAUGCUGCGUGAACUUCAGCGUAAAAUAAUGAGCCUGAAGGACAAUUCUGAUCUCCAAAAAGUGGUACAACUAAUUGCAGAAACCGGCCAGUACGAAGUCUCUGCUCAUACAUUCGAUUUCGAUUUGUGUUUGUUAGAUAGGUCAACAGUGAGGCAACUACAAGACUUUUUCUCAACGAUAUCGUAGUAAAAACUAAUUAUAAACACUCCAAAGAGUUGUGAAUAGUGGUGUGUCGGUCACGGUAAAAGUAGAGCUGGGUAAAAUCUAUGUUUAAUUACUUUUUAUAACAAUCGAUGUAAACGUAGACAAUUUUUAUAUAUUUCUUUAUGUCGAUUAGUCUUUUUUAUGAAAAUUCGAAUCUGGUAAGAAGUACAAACUCAUUCUCUAAAAUCUGCUUAAGUACAAAUAAAUUAAUAAUUAAUAUCGUCAUUCUACAGCUGAAAAUGUUUGAUGUUUUGCUCUUUUUAAAAAUUACAAAAAAGUGUUACUUCAAAAUAUACAAUUAUACCAGUUUAUCUGUGAAAAAAUCAUUGAUUUCGCGUAAAAAUCUUAUACAAAUAUUUGAAGGUUCUAAAAGCUAUAUGAGGGGUAACUAACUGAUAAUCUUAAAAAGGGAAAAAAAUAUUUUUUGAAACGUUUCUUACACAUUUUAGAGAAAUAUAGUUCAAAUAAAAGUUGUAGAUCAUAUCAACUUCUUUAAUUUUGAGCCAUUCCAAAUUAAAAUACAUAAACAAUUGACUGAAAUAUUUGCAAAACCCCUUAUUUUUGCGCAAUUUAUAAAUGUUGGUAACUUUGUUUUUUGCAUUAUGGUAUUUAAUAUAACUACUGGACAGUUAAUGAGUUAUUAAAGUGUGCUGAAUUUCAAACAUAUCGACCAACUUACUUUCUAGAACCUUUUAUGGCCAAUAGGAAAUAAGAUAGCGUUUUUAAAUCAUAUUUUAAUAAAAGAAAAGAAAAGAUGGUUCAGAUUUGAUUACAGUACAGAGCCUCUACUAUGUGCUUAUACAUAUUUCGGAAUAACCUUUUCCUCAUCGGAGCACCUGGAUAGAGGCACUGAACUAAAAUCAAAUCCUUUCAUCCUUUCCGGGUAAUUAUCAAAAUAGUUACCAAAGAUGCUACUAGCACCAUCUAUGAAUCGAAAGUUGAGUCAGGAAAUAAAAUUCGAAAUCAUUUAUCCUCUGAGCUUUUUAAGUUGGAAAAAUGAAGUAUAACAGAGUGGCGAAAUACUCGACAAGGGAAAUCUAAAUUGCAUUUCACGUCCUGUUAGGACGUGAAUCUAGCAUCUUUGGUAAUUAUUUUGAUAAUUACCCGGAAAGGAUGAAAGAAUUUGAUUUCAGUUCAGUGCCUCUACCCAGGUGCUCCUAUGAGGAAACGGUUAUUCCGAAAUACGUAUAAGCACAUAGUAGAGGCUCUGUACUGUAAUCAAAUCUGAACCAUCUUUUCUUUUAGUUUAUAUUUUAUUCACUUUUGGUGGAUAUUAAAGGAAAUAGUUCGCUAAAAUUAUUAUCACGGUGAAUGACAGGACGUGAAAUGCAAUUUAGAUUUCCCUUGUCGAGUAUUUCGCCACUCUGUUAUGCUUUAUUUUUCCAACUUAAAAAGCUCAGAGGAUAAAUAAUUUCGAAUUUUAUUUCCUGACUUAUUAGACUUUUGAUUCAUAUUUUAAUAACUCAUUAACUGCCACCAUUUUGAGUAGGUAGUUUUAUUACAUCAUUAUGCAAAAAAAUAAAGAUAUUAACGUUUAUAAAUUAUUGCAAAAAUAAGGGUUUUUUAAAAUUAUCUGUCAAUUGUUUAGGUCUUUUAAUUUGGAGAUUCAUUUUAUGAUUUACAACUUUUAUUUGAACCAUUUUUCUUUAAAAUAUAUAAGAUACAUUUUAUAUGCAAAAAAUACUUUUUUCACUUUUUCAAAAAUCAGCUGUACGUCUUCACUAGUUUUUCAUCAGCUACCCCUCGUAUACCUUUUAGACUCUUCAAAUAGCUGUAGUAAGAUUUUUUCUGCUGUUUUUCCUUGACUGGUAUAAAUUAUUUAAGAGCACUUAAAUCAUAUUCGAUAUGGUCUACCUCAAUACCUCCAAUAUCUUUGUACAUCAAACACAAUAUGGGCUGUUUCAUAUUAUAAGAAUUUUGAACGUGAUAAUUUUGACGCACUUGUUCUUUUCACACAAUAAGAAUUGAGUCGCACGAAGAUAUUUUGCUGUGUUGUUUGGUAUAUUAUUUUUAUUUAUACUUUGUGGCUGAGGUAGGUACAUGAUUGAUGUCUGAUAUGUAUCAUGACGAUAUAUCAUUACAAAUGAGUAUUUUUUGUCCAUACUUUUGUCCUAAUGUACUGUAAUGCGUAUUUAAUUCAUUUGAAAUUUCUAUUUUGUCAGUUAUUAUUUCUUAUGUUUUUACUUAAAAGUCUUAAUUUGUUUUUAUAAUCGUUGUUCUGCUAAGUUAUUUGUGGGAUCUUGUAUUAGCUCAUCUAAUUAGCUCAUACAAUAUAUGUAACAAACUAUUCUAAAUGGGAAAUAAGCCACAAUUUAACUAAAAAAUUAUUUUAUUAACGUUUCGACAUCCGAUUUGGGCGUCUAAAUGUUAAUAAAAUAAUUUUUUAGUUAAAUUGUGGCUUAUUUCCCAUUUAGAAUAGUUUAUUACAAAAAUGCCACAAGGAAAUAGCUUCAGAACAACAUUACAAUCUAUGUUUUUCAUGUACAUAAUUUAAAAGACCUCCGUCAUCCACUCGUUGUUAAAUGUUGUUCCCCUCGUUUUAAAUGUUGUUUUUAGAUAAUUUCACACAAGACGUGACGGCCGCCCUACUCCAGUCUUCACCGAGUCGUUUACCCUAUAAAACUGAAUUUAAUUUCGUAGAAUAAAAGGUAUAGUUAUAUUAUAUGAAGCGAAAUCAAAUUAUAGCGUUGUGGUUACUUUAUCUUCGAAGAAAGAGAAAUAAGAGGAACCGAAUUCAUUGGGUCCAUCCUAUGAACGCAAAAAGAUACGAUUUAUAUAUUUUUAUAUUCACACAUAUUGAUGGAGCACCCUCUAUACUAAACGUUAAUUGCAACUAUGUAAAAUAAAGUUUAUAUGUGUUUUUUUUUCUUUAUCACCUAAUUCGUCAAAUUCACUGUUAAGUGCACGGCAUACACCAUUCCAAGCAUUUCUCGUCAAGUUUCUAUCUUUACAUAUUUCUAUUGUUUUGUCCCAAAGAACCGGUCUCGCUUCAAUUAAUUUUAUUAAUAUUUCACUAUCAAUCUGAGACAUCAUAAUAUAAAAUAUAUGCACCUACUUCAAACAGUCACAAAGUGUAAAUGAAAAUAAUGUACCAAACAGCCAAAGAAACUACCUUCGUUCGACUGAACGACAGUAUCAUACGAAAGGAUGCAUUAAGUCCCCUAUGCUACUGGCUGCUGUCUGUUGUAGCAAGGGACGACAUAAACACGGCGACUUCACCAAACGUUCCAACCACCGUCUAGUGAGAAAGGCUCCAUAUGAUUACAUGAGCCACCAUUGGAAUAUUUUCGUGCGUUCUAACCAUCGCAUGUUUAAAUUCUUAUAAUGUGAAACAGCGCUAUGAUUUCGUCGCGCAGGUUUUGAAAGUGCUAUUUUACCUACAUUGGUUAUAUAAAUCUGUUUAAAUAGGUGCAAAUUUAUAAAGGUUACUAGCCCAUUUCAUGUACAUAUCGAUACUGUUGCUUUUAAUGCUACUGACAAGUCAGAAACAAAAGUAUUGACGUUUUUUACUAUUAGAAUUUUUUUUAUUUGCUUUGACCUUGACAAUUAGCCAGCCUGUUUGAAUUUUGUACAUAUUGUUAGUAAUCAGUGUCGAUUAGGUAGUUGAAUAGAAAACAAAGCGCGCAAUGAAGUUGAAGCGAUGAAAAUAACGCGAGCGUUGCAGAGUUAAGAAGAGAAGCGAAAGAAGAAAAAUGUACAGAACCGUUAGCUUUGUAUUGUUUUUGCAUUGUGUUUUUUGAAAUAAAGUUUUUAAUCGUUGAA